GAUGAACGCUGGCGGCGUGCCUAAUACAUGCAAGUCGAACGAACAGACGAGGAGCUUGCUCCUCUGACGUUAGCGGCGGACGGGUGAGUAACACGUGGAUAACCUACCUAUAAUACUGGGAUAACUUCGGGAAACCGGAGCUAAUACCGGAUAAUAUAUUGAACCGCAUGGUUCAAUAGUGAAAGACGGUUUUGCUGUCACUUAUAGAUGGAUCCGCGCCGCAUUAGCUAGUUGGUAAGGUAACGGCUUACCAAGGCGACGAUGCGUAGCCGACCUGAGAGGGGGGUCGGCCGCACGGGAGGGUGACCGCGGUCAAUGGUACUGAGGGACGCAGCAGUAGGGUAUCGGCCGCAGCAGGCGGAAGCUUGGCGGAGCGAGGCGGCGUGAGAUGUGAAGAUGUUCGGAGCGUGAAACUCUGUUACGAGGGAAGAACAAAUGUGUAAGGUGAUAAGGACGUCUUGACGGUAACUGAUCAGAAAGCAACGGCUAACUACGUG
This 497-nucleotide ribosomal RNA is filed under the name uncultured bacterium. Its description in RNAcentral is "partial 16S ribosomal RNA". It matches the Rfam family "Bacterial small subunit ribosomal RNA", at positions 28 to 507 of the family's 1533-position model. The record is from RNAcentral.